Long non-coding RNA from Mastomys coucha (southern multimammate mouse), 1118 nucleotides. RefSeq lists it as uncharacterized. NCBI's taxonomy places the organism in Eukaryota, Metazoa, Chordata, Mammalia, Rodentia, Muridae. The transcript is spliced from 4 exons. The record is from RefSeq and is a predicted model, not a curated record.
CACUCCAGGGUGCUAAGUAAGGCCGGCUGCUUGUUCUGAAGGACUUGGGUCUUGGGAUGCAGAUUGUCAGUCCCACCGCAUGGGAGUGAAGCAACUGCUUCUGCCCUGAGUGGGUUGGGAUGGCGCAGGGGCAGCCGUAGAGUUAACCACGGGCUAGAAGAAAGCCUGCCCUUCUCCCGAGGAAGAGACUAGCUCCAGACUUGCAACUGUCCAAUGCUGAGAUACAAGACCUUGAAGACCAAUUUUUGACCCUUCAUGGCGGGACGAGCCAGCCCUGGGAGGAUGGAGGUCCUUGAAAAGCACCAGCCAGGAAAGGGAUGCUUCGAGGCGGAAACCCAAGUCACAGAAUUCCUCUGAAGCAUCUCAGAAGUGAGAGCAACCCGCACUUCCUCUUUCAGACAGCGACGGGCUCCCACGUGAACUAUGGUGGAGAGGAAUACCUUUGUCCUCAGCAACUGAAGACCUGGCCUCUUGAUAACUUCCCCUUUAUCCUAGUGGCGUUUCUAGAGAAACCUGAUAACUUCUUCACGUGACUACUGGAGAAGCCACAGUCUGCUUGAAGCAGAAGCUCCCCUAGGCAGGAGAAUGAAGCUACAGGACGCAGCCAUAGGCAGGCUCCUGUAGGCCAGGGGGCGGGGCAAACCCUGGCAAUAUUCACACUCAUAAUAGGAAGCCCCUCCCACUUGGUGGGAAUGCUUCCCCACGCACCCACACCAGCACCCUGUGCAGUGUUGAUCAGGCCUCAACCUCCCAGGGUAGCGAGGGACUCCAUGUCUGUUUUUCAAAGCCCAUGAUAGCAUCCUCUUGGCUCUGGGAAAUCUUUACAGUAUGCUGUCUGCCUUAGAACUCUGCAGCAUUUCCCGUGAGUGGAGCUGUGCACAGGAGGUCCUGGGUCUUCACUCGGGGGGGGGGGGGGACCAUCAGUGAGAUGCGCUCACACACCUGACCUGGAAUGCCAGUCUUUCUCCUUUUGCCGUACCCCAAAUCUACCUCUUGCUCUGUAGCCCCCUCCUAAACACGUCUUUUUUCCUUACCUUCACCCCUAAGUCUUUAUUAUUUGUAUACUCCAGAGCUAUUUUCCCUCACUAAGCAUUACUUAAUAUAUUAAUUUAGGAAAU